This 1019-nucleotide ribosomal RNA is filed under the name uncultured bacterium. Its description in RNAcentral is "bacterial SSU rRNA". It matches the Rfam family "Bacterial small subunit ribosomal RNA", at positions 355 to 1375 of the family's 1533-position model. The record is from RNAcentral.
UGAGGAAUAUUGGUCAAUGGGCGAUGGCCUGAACCAGCCAAGUAGCGUGAAGGAUGACUGCCCUAUGGGUUGUAAACUUCUUUUAUAAAGGAAUAAAGUCGGGUAUGCAUACCCGUUUGCAUGUACUUUAUGAAUAAGGAUCGGCUAACUCCGUGCCAGCAGCCGCGGUAAUACGGAGGAUCCGAGCGUUAUCCGGAUUUAUUGGGUUUAAAGGGAGCGUAGAUGGAUGUUUAAGUCAGUUGUGAAAGUUUGCGGCUCAACCGUAAAAUUGCAGUUGAUACUGGAUGUCUUGAGUGCAGUUGAGGCAGGCGGAAUUCGUGGUGUAGCGGUGAAAUGCUUAGAUAUCACGAAGAACUCCGAUUGCGAAGGCAGCCUGCUAAGCUGCAACUGACAUUGAGGCUCGAAAGUGUGGGUAUCAAACAGGAUUAGAUACCCUGGUAGUCCACACGGUAAACGAUGAAUACUCGCUGUUUGCGAUAUACGGCAAGCGGCCAAGCGAAAGCGUUAAGUAUUCCACCUGGGGAGUACGCCGGCAACGGUGAAACUCAAAGGAAUUGACGGGGGCCCGCACAAGCGGAGGAACAUGUGGUUUAAUUCGAUGAUACGCGAGGAACCUUACCCGGGCUUAAAUUGCACUCGAAUGAUCCGGAAACGGUUCAGCUAGCAAUAGCGAGUGUAAAGGUGCUGCAUGGUUGUCGUCAGCUCGUGCCGUGAGGUGUCGGCUUAAGUGCCAUAACGAGCGCAACCCUUGUUGUCAGUUACUAACAGGUGAUGCUGAGGACUCUGACAAGACUGCCAUCGUAAGAUGUGAGGAAGGUGGGGAUGACGUCAAAUCAGCACGGCCCUUACGUCCGGGGCUACACACGUGUUACAAUGGGGGGUACAGAGGGCCGCUACCACGCGAGUGGAUGCCAAUCCCUAAAACCCCUCUCAGUUCGGACUGGAGUCUGCAACCCGACUCCACGAAGCUGGAUUCGCUAGUAAUCGCGCAUCAGCCACGGCGCGGUGAAUACGUUCCC